Molecule: non-coding RNA, 23 nt
Filed under: Arabidopsis thaliana (thale cress)
Lineage: Eukaryota; Viridiplantae; Streptophyta; Magnoliopsida; Brassicales; Brassicaceae
Source: RNAcentral
AGAUUCGUACCGUACCGCAUCAU